CCUGACUGUAUCCUGGAAUUGGGUUCGGGCUUUUCUUGCGCAGUCUAGGUGGGAGGCUAUGAAGAUUUCCUUCCGGGGAAGUUGGAGCCAACAGUGAGAGACCACUCUGGAGAGGCUAGAAUCCUAAUGGUGAUCCUUGAAUCAGGACACUUGACAGUUUCAGGUGGGCAGUUUUUCUGGGGCGGAAGCCUCAUAAAGGGUAACUGAGGCGCGCAAAGGUCCCCUCAGUCUGGACGGAAAUCAGACAACGAGUGUAAGGGCAAAAGGGGGCUUGACUGCAAGACCUACAAGUCGAGCAGGAGCGAAAGCUGGCCUUAGUGAUCCGACGGUACCGCGUGGAAGGGCCGUCGCUCAACGAAUAAAAGUUA
Molecule: ribosomal RNA, 368 nt
Filed under: uncultured organism
Description: bacterial LSU rRNA
Rfam family: Bacterial large subunit ribosomal RNA
Source: RNAcentral